RNAcentral lists this ribosomal RNA (288 nucleotides) under Emiliania huxleyi. RNAcentral describes it as "partial 18S ribosomal RNA". It matches the Rfam family "Eukaryotic small subunit ribosomal RNA", at positions 594 to 886 of the family's 1831-position model. The record is from RNAcentral. Lineage: Eukaryota; Haptophyta; Isochrysidales; Noelaerhabdaceae.
AUAGCGUAUAUUAAAGUUGUUGCAGUUAAAACGCUCGUAGUCGGAUUUCGGGGCGGGCCGACCGGUCUGCCGAUGGGUAUGCACUGGCCGGCGCGUCCUUCCACCCGGAGACCGCGCCUACUCUUAACUGAGCGGGCGCGGGAGACGGGUCUUUUACUUUGAAAAAAUCAGAGUGUUUCAAGCAGGCAGUCGCUCUUGCAUGGAUUAGCAUGGGAUAAUGAAAUAGGACUCUGGUGCUAUUUUGAUUGGUUUCGAACACCGGAGUAAUGAUUAACAGGGACAGUCAGG